This 1360-nucleotide long non-coding RNA is filed under the name Sarcophilus harrisii (Tasmanian devil). RNAcentral describes it as "lncRNA (ENSSHAG00000031370.1)". Lineage: Eukaryota; Metazoa; Chordata; Mammalia; Dasyuromorphia; Dasyuridae. The record is from RNAcentral.
GAUUGCCAAGAGUUUGCAUAGGUGAUAUGAGCCUUCUGAACCCACUUCUACUCUUGGAAGAGGGUGCUGAGGUUCCUAGGAAACAGGAACCCACAGGGGAACAGAAACAGAGAAAGAUGAAUUAAGAGCCACACAGCCUGAAAGACGCAAUUUUCGAUCUCAAUCCCUAGAAUCCUUCAUCAAAAUGGCCCCAGCAGUUACCUCCGUGGGACAUUGAUAACGCUUCCAGGAAUAGUCAGUUACUGUUGAUCUCUCAGGGGAGGAAUUGUCCAAUCUGAUUCUUCCUAUAGAAAGGAUGAGCAUAGCUUGUAGAGUAGGGAAUGACUGACUACCAAGGAGGAGGUCAUCCUUUUGUGGGAGGAGCUGCUCCUCUCUGUUACCUUAUAAAAGUGAACUUAGAAAAGGACUUUGUCCUUCUUGCCUUUUCCCUCUUUUCUCUUGGGUUUGUCUUUCUUCCAGAUUGCAGAGAGAGAAUUUCUCCUUCUCUUCUCAUUCCUCACUUCCAGCCACUGAUGUCCCUCCAUCUACAAGACAGAGGCUGAUGUACACUUGUCCCAAAGGUGCGAGAAGAGAGUUCCUAAGAGUGUACUUUCCCAGGAGAGUGGAGUGAGAGUAAGAGUGAAAGAAGUGAUAACAGAUUGUACUUUUCCAUUUGACCUCAGGAGAGAAAGCAAAGGACAAUGUUCCUGAAUUCCAGCCUCUUCUAGUUGUCUGGGAGGGGAGGAAUUCAGUGUCUUAAUUAUGAUGAUCCAAUAACUUAGCUUUCUGCCCAGGAAAGGUAGAUUUCUUGGACAGCAUCAGUCUUACAAUGGCACUUCAAUUCAAAAUUCCUAAAGCCUUAAAAUCCAGCCUUCUUUUAUCUAGGGAAGAUUGAUUGCCUAAAGGGAUCAUUCAUAGAAUCUCGACUUCUAACCAGACAAGGGAGACUGGAUUUUUGGGCAGUGUCAGCCAGGGAGCUUGCCAUUAGCAAGUCUCCAGUCUGAGAAUUUGAGGACCAGAUAUUUUAGAGAAAAGGGGAAUUUCUAGUGUUAUUCUAGGGCAAAAAAGAGGAUUGAUGGUGUCAUCCCUGAAACUAGAAGAAAUGCUAAGGUCACAACUUGGGAGGGCAAGAUUGGGAUCUUAUGCCCUAUGCCAUUUUUUAGUGAGUUAUUUAGAAAGGGGAAUAUUUUUUUUUCAGUCUCAAAAUGCAUCGGCUUCAAGUAGUUUAAAUCCCAAAGUAGCACUGUGAGUCUGGGAGGAACUAUGUAGGCAAAGAGAGUAUUUUACCAGAAUGUCAAGUUCAAUCAUCUUCAGAAGGGAGCCUAUGGACUAUUACGAGUGCUUUAUUAUUCUCUGUAGCUUUAAGGAUCCUUGCGAGUCC